GAGCGCGGCCACGGAGGCGGGGAUCGCCCGAUCCCAUCCCGAACUCGGCAGCUAAGCCCGCCAUCGCCCAAAGUACUGCGGAGCAAGUCCGCGGGAGGACGGGACGCCGCGCUCG
Molecule: ribosomal RNA, 115 nt
Organism: Slackia piriformis YIT 12062
Lineage: Bacteria; Bacillati; Actinomycetota; Coriobacteriia; Eggerthellales; Eggerthellaceae
Source: Rfam